AUUGAACGCUGGCGGCAUGCCUUACACAUGCAAGUCGAACGGUAACGCGGGGCAACCUGGCGACGAGUGGCGAACGGGUGAGUAAUAUAUCGGAACGUGCCCAGUAGUGGGGGAUAGCCCGGCGAAAGCCGGAUUAAUACCGCAUACGACCUACGGGUGAAAGCGGGGGAUCGCAAGACCCCGCGCUAUUGGAGCGGCCGAUAUCAGAUUAGGUAGUUGGUGGGGUAAAAGCCUACCAAGCCUGCGAUCUGUAGCUGGUCUGAGAGGACGACCAGCCACACUGGGACUGAGACACGGCCCAGACUCCUACGGGAGGCAGCAGUGGGGAAUUUUGGACAAUGGGCGCAAGCCUGAUCCAGCCAUGCCGCGUGCGGGAAGAAGGCCUUCGGGUUGUAAACCGCUUUUGUCAGGGAAGAAAAGCUCUGGGCUAAUACCCCGGAGUCAUGACGGUACCUGAAGAAUAAGCACCGGCUAACUACGGGCCAGCAGCCGCGGUAAUACGUAGGGUGCAAGCGUUAAUCGGAAUUACUGGGCGUAAAGCGUGCGCAGGCGGUGAUGCAAGACAGAUGUGAAAUCCCCGGGCUCAACCUGGGAACUGCAUUUGUGACUGCAUCGCUGGAGUGCGGCAGAGGGGGAUGGAAUUCCGCGUGUAGCAGUGAAAUGCGUAAAUAUGCGGAGGAACACCGAUGGCGAAGGCAAUCCCCUGGGCCUGCACUGACGCUCAUGCACGAAAGCGUGGGGAGCAAACAGGAU
RNAcentral lists this ribosomal RNA (753 nucleotides) under uncultured bacterium. Its description in RNAcentral is "bacterial SSU rRNA". It matches the Rfam family "Bacterial small subunit ribosomal RNA", at positions 28 to 778 of the family's 1533-position model. The record is from RNAcentral.